This 61-nucleotide ribosomal RNA is filed under the name Acacia melanoxylon. RNAcentral's name for it is "partial 26S ribosomal RNA". The record is from RNAcentral. Lineage: Eukaryota; Viridiplantae; Streptophyta; Magnoliopsida; Fabales; Fabaceae.
GCUGCCAAGCCCGUACGCGACCCCAGGUCAGGCGGGGCUACCCGCUGAGUUUAAGCAUAUC